Molecule: ribosomal RNA, 254 nt
Filed under: uncultured bacterium
Lineage: Bacteria
Description: partial 16S ribosomal RNA
Rfam family: Bacterial small subunit ribosomal RNA
Source: RNAcentral
UACGAAGGGGGCUAGCGUUGCUCGGAAUCACUGGGCGUAAAGGGUGCGUAGGCGGGUCUUUAAGUCAGGGGUGAAAUCCUGGAGCUCAACUCCAGAACUGCCUUUGAUACUGAGGAUCUUGAGUUCGGGAGAGGUGAGUGGAACUGCGAGUGUAGAGGUGAAAUUCGUAGAUAUUCGCAAGAACACCAGUGGCGAAGGCGGCUGACUGGUCCGGUUCUGACGCUGAGGCGCGAAAAGCGUGGGGAGCAAACAGG